GGAUUGGAANUGGGCGCAGCCUGAUCCAGCAAUGCCGCGUGAGUGAUGAAGGCCUUCGGGUUGUAAAGCUCUUUCGCACGCGAGGAUGAUGACGCUAGCGUGAGAAGAAGCCCCGGCUAACUUCGUGCCAGCAGCCGCGGUAAUACGAAGGGGGCGAGCGUUGUUCGGAUUUACUGGGCGUAAAGGGCGCGUAGGCGGCGGGCCAAGUCGAGUGUGAAAGCCCCGGGCUCAACCUGGGAAUUGCGCUCGAGACUGGUUUGCUUGAGUUCGGGAGAGGAGCGUGGAAUUCCCAGUGUAGAGGUGAAAUUCGUAGAUAUUGGGAAGAACACCGGUGGCGAAGGCGGCGCUCUGGACCGAGACUGACGCUGAGGCGCGAAAGCGUGGGGAGCAAACAGGAUUAGAUACCCUGGUAGUCCACGCGGUAAACGAUGUGUGCUAGACGUUGGGGAGCCUAGCUCUUCGGUGUCGCCGCUAACGCUUUAAGCACACCGCCUGGGGAGUACGGCCGCAAGGUUAAAACUCAAAGAAAUUGACGGA
Molecule: ribosomal RNA, 537 nt
Filed under: uncultured bacterium
Lineage: Bacteria
Description: bacterial SSU rRNA
Rfam family: Bacterial small subunit ribosomal RNA
Source: RNAcentral